RNAcentral lists this ribosomal RNA (445 nucleotides) under uncultured bacterium. RNAcentral's name for it is "partial 16S ribosomal RNA". The record is from RNAcentral.
GCCAUACUCCUACUUUAUUCAUCAUUAUUUAAUAUUUCUCAAUUUUUUAAACCCUUAAUCAUCAACUCCUCUUUUAUUAUUAAUUUUUUAUUAUUUUAAACUCCUUUUUUUAUAUAAUAUUAUUACUUUAUCUAACGAAUAAUCACCUUCUAACUCCUUUCCAUCAUCCUCUUUAAUACGUAUUUUUCAAUCUUUAAUAUGAAUCACUUGGAUUAAAGAUUUCUUAUGCUGGGUAAUAAGUAAGAUGUGAAAUAAUGUAGCUUAAAUAAAGAAAUGAAUUUGAAAAUGUUAAUAUGGAGUGUGGGAGAGGUAGGUGGAAUUAUUGGUGUAGGGGUAAAAUAAGUAGAGAUAAAGAGGAAUAAUAAUUGAGAAGGAGAAAUGAUGGAAAAUUAAUGAAGAUGAUGAAAGAAAGAGUGGGGAGAAAAAAGGAUUAGAUAAAAAUGUA